UCAGUCUAGCUACCUCAUGAAUGAGAAAAGAUUGAGGCUAGACAGGUACGAAAAUUAUUUUCACACUAGCUAAUAAUAACGUGCAAAGUAGGCAAUUCAUGAAAAUCCAAAAUGAAGCCGCAUACACCCAAACCCCAUCUCUUUAUCCUUCGAAUCUCUCGCCCUCCCCCAUCCCUCUGUUACCCCGAUUCUCCCUUAUUAGAAGCCACCCAUUUUCUCUCCAUUAUACACCAUUCUUACUCCCACGACAACAAACACCGUUUCACUGCUGGAGCUGACUUUUCUCUACAGGCUAUUCAGGUUGAUCCUCAGAAUGUUGAAGUUGUAGUGCUGCAUAGCAAUGUUAGGUUGGUGGCAAGAGCUCGUGCAAGAAGUAAUGAUCUCUUCAAAUAUGAGAGGUACACCAAAGCUUGCUCAGCAUAUGAGGAGGGUCUCAAGCUUGACCCUUCCAACUUUCUUCUUUACUACAAUGCUUGUUUGUUUAAGCUUGGGUUGUGGGAAAAUCCGUUGAAAUUGUGACCAAGUCUUAAGUAUGCAACCCAAUUACACAAAGGCCCUUAUUCGAAGGGCUACCUCAAACAUCAAGUUGGAAAAGUGGGUGGAUGCAAUACAAGAUUAUGAGGUCUUGAGAAAGGAACCUCAAGAUGACAAUGAAGUUGCAGCCAUCACUUUUCCUAUGAACGCCGGAACAAUGUUCGUCGUCGUCUUCGUGGUAGCAGGAAUGGUGUUCAUCAACGGCAUUCCUUCUGUUCGUGGUGUGGGAUCGCUGCCUCAAAUGAGAGAAAGGGGGUGGCUUCUAACAGGGGAGAAUCAGGGUAAUAGAGAGAUGGGGUAGGGGGGAUAUUCGGAGGAUAAAGAGAUGGGAUUUGGUUGUAUGCGGUUCCAUUUUGGGUUUUCAUGAAGUGCCUAUGUGGCACGUUAUUAUUGGCCUAGUGUGAAAGGCCUAGUGUGAAAAUCAUUUUCAUACCCGUCCAGCUUCUAGAUUUUCUCCUCAUGAAUUUAUCCUUCUAUUGUUCAUAUAUUAUAAUUUUUUUUAUUAUUUUUUUAAUUUAACGGUUACAAAA
Molecule: long non-coding RNA, 1064 nt
Organism: Carya illinoinensis
Lineage: Eukaryota; Viridiplantae; Streptophyta; Magnoliopsida; Fagales; Juglandaceae
Exons: 3
Source: RefSeq, a predicted model, not a curated record